This 72-nucleotide transfer RNA is filed under the name Bos taurus (domestic cattle). It matches the Rfam family "tRNA". From Rfam's summary of the family: Transfer RNA (tRNA) molecules are approximately 80 nucleotides in length. Their secondary structure includes four short double-helical elements and three loops (D, anti-codon, and T loops). Further hydrogen bonds mediate the characteristic L-shaped molecular structure. tRNAs have two regions of fundamental functional importance: the anti-codon, which is responsible for specific mRNA codon recognition, and the 3' end, to which the tRNAs corresponding amino acid is attached (by aminoacyl-tRNA synthetases). tRNAs cope with the degeneracy of the genetic code in two manners: having more than one tRNA (with a specific anti-codon) for a particular amino acid; and 'wobble' base-pairing, i.e. permitting non-standard base-pairing at the 3rd anti-codon position. RNAcentral also lists the same sequence under 2 other names. The record is from Rfam by way of RNAcentral. Lineage: Eukaryota; Metazoa; Chordata; Mammalia; Artiodactyla; Bovidae.
UCCCUGGUGGCUCAGACGGUAAAGAAUCUGCCUGCAAUGCAGAUGAUCCAGGUUUGAUCCCUGGCCCUGGGU